RNAcentral lists this RNase P RNA (408 nucleotides) under Sneathiellales bacterium. Its description in RNAcentral is "RNase P RNA component class A". It matches the Rfam family "Bacterial RNase P class A". From Rfam's summary of the family: Ribonuclease P (RNase P) is a ubiquitous endoribonuclease, found in archaea, bacteria and eukarya as well as chloroplasts and mitochondria. Its best characterised activity is the generation of mature 5'-ends of tRNAs by cleaving the 5'-leader elements of precursor-tRNAs. The record is from RNAcentral. Lineage: Bacteria; Pseudomonadati; Pseudomonadota; Alphaproteobacteria; Sneathiellales.
UCAGGCGGCCGGAUGACCGCUGUUCCGCCCGUUGGGGCGGAAGGGAGGAAAGUCCGGGCUCCACGGAAAGACGGUGCCGGGUAACGCCCGGCGGGGGUGACCCCAGGGACAGUGCCACAGAGAACAGACCGCCGAUCAGGCCCGGGCAGCCGCCCGGACCGGAACGGCAAGGGUGAAACGGUGCGGUAAGAGCGCACCGCGGGGGCGGCGACGUCACCGGCAAGGUAAACCCCACCGGGAGCAAGACCGAAUAGGGACGGCGCGCCGGAACGCAGGUUCCGGCAGGGCAUUUCCGGCCUGCUGUCCGGGUUGGUUGCAGGAGGCAUCCGGUAACGGGUGUCCCAGAUGAAUGGUCAUCCAGCCCCUUCACGGGGUGGACAGAACCCGGCUUACAGGCCGCCUGACCUU